UUAUUUGUAUACAGGAACCCAGACGAAGCAAAUAACAACAGAUUAAUCGUCAACUAAAGUUCGAAACCUAGCAAGACAAACGAAAAAAAAGGGGAAACUGGAAACUGUAAAUAUUUCGACUUCCAUAUUAGUACAAGACAGUUCAAUUUCGAAAAAAAAGUAACACGGUUUCAAGUCAUGAGACAUUCUGGUUAUAAAUUGCACAAGAGUUCUAGACGGUAACGUGUCUGUAAGCUGCAUGGCAAAAUAUUACGAUACCAUCAAACUCUCGGCUGCUAUCAAGACCAACAAAAAUGGCAGGGAGGAACCUGUGGGGGGAUGAAACUGAAAUCCACAACGGAAGGGGAGAAUUACCAACACCAUCCUUACUACAUUUGCUGAAACAUCGUGCAGAACACUAUUCGCCUUGAAGACAGUAUAGUUGACGUAUAUUUCCUGAAGCAUAUAACCAGUCUUUAAAGCACACAUGCAGAGCAGCUGCUACUUCCCGCUUCCGGCUCUCAUCAAGGUCGAUGUCCUUCAAACUACUCUUAGUCUCCUCCAAGUUCUUGAGAUUUCUCUGCUGGGAUGCCAUAUAAGCUUCCGGUAAGGGGAAUGGAUUAUCUUUUGUGGACCCAGAUUGCUGCCCUUCAAACCAGUUUGGAAUCAAAAAGUUAGUGAACUGAUCAGGGUCCACGGGACUAGCAGACUCUGUUUGAACUUCAGACACACCAGCAGGAUGUGACAGUGAAUCGUGUGGGUCAAUGACGCCAAGUGCUACAGGUGCAUCCCAUCUGUUGAUGGUUGGGUCAAUACCAACUUGCUUCAGGUGUUCCUCCAAUAGCGAGUAAAAAGUAUUGUACGGAGCCACUUGCAAUUUAUGGUUAUCACCAACAAGAAGUGGUGUUUGGUUAACUCCCAAGAAGAAUACGCAUUCACGACAAUUGGCAAUACAAAUACGUUUUGCUGCUGCAAUCACUUGUACACGCUCGCAGUGCUCAAUUCUGACAGCCUUGCCUACAGCUCCCAGGACAAUAGUUGCAUCAGAGCAUCCAUAUACUGUAGCAUAUUUCAAAGGAGCUAAAAUAUAAAUGACCGAUUCAUGGCAAUUGAUAACCUUUACAGAGGAGCCUUUAAUAUCAUUUGGCAGCCUUACAUAUGAUGAUUUAGAAAUUCCUUCAAUGGAACUUGGACCUCUAGGACCUGGUGAACUCUUAACUGAACUUGCAGAGACAUCAGCCAUUGGCACAUCCUGAUCAGAGGCACUAGUUGGUCCAUUUUCCUUUGCUGAAGCCCUCUCGGUUAUUCGUGUCAAAGCAGAGGCUAUAUUUUCUAUAAGCCAGUCAUGUACUUGAGCUGCAGGAACAGGAACAGCAGGCAUCUCUGGAUCUGAAUUGGCAAAAAAUGGGGCAUUCUGACUCAAUGGGAUUCUCUCAGAUCCCUUUUCACCAAAAUAGAUUAGGAAGCCAAGAUGCUCCAAUUUCUCCAUAGACAAGACCAGUGAUUCGUCACCAUCUCCUUCCCCUGACUCUGCCAAAAGAGACAGAAUGUUUCCCAAGUGUUUCUGUAAAUAGGAUAAUUGAUGAGCCUCUUCAUCAGCCUG
RNAcentral lists this unclassified non-coding RNA (1582 nucleotides) under Hevea brasiliensis (rubber tree). The record is from RNAcentral. Lineage: Eukaryota; Viridiplantae; Streptophyta; Magnoliopsida; Malpighiales; Euphorbiaceae.